This 308-nucleotide ribosomal RNA is filed under the name uncultured bacterium. Its description in RNAcentral is "bacterial SSU rRNA". It matches the Rfam family "Bacterial small subunit ribosomal RNA", at positions 29 to 361 of the family's 1533-position model. The record is from RNAcentral.
AACGAACGCUGGCGGCAUGCCUAACACAUGCAAGUCGAACGCCUGUAGCAAUACAGGAGUGGCGCACGGGUGAGUAACGCGUGGGAACCUGCCCUGGGAGUGGGGGAGUAACCAGAGAAAUUUCGGCUAAUACCGCAUACGUCCUGAGGGAGAAAGAUUUAUCGCUCUAGGAGGGGCCCGCGUCGGAUUAGCUAGUUGGUGGGGUAACGGCCUACCAAGGCAACGAUCCGUAGCCGGCCNGAGAGGGCGGUCGGCCACACUGACACUGACAUACGGGUCAGACUCCUACGGGAGGCAGCAGUCGGGAA